RNAcentral lists this ribosomal RNA (486 nucleotides) under uncultured bacterium. Its description in RNAcentral is "partial 16S ribosomal RNA". It matches the Rfam family "Bacterial small subunit ribosomal RNA", at positions 28 to 507 of the family's 1533-position model. The record is from RNAcentral.
GACGAACGCUGGCGGCGUGCUUAACACAUGCAAGUCGAACGCUGAAGCCCUGGCUUUUGUUGGGUUGGAUGAGUGGCGAACGGGUGAGUAACACGUGAGUAACCUGCCCUCUUCUUUGGGAUAACGCCCGGAAACGGGUGCUAAUACUGGAUAUUCACUGGCCUUCGCAUGGGGGUUGGUGGAAAGGUUUGUUCUGGUGGGGGAUGGGCUCGCGGCCUAUCAGCUUGUUGGUGGGGUGAUGGCCUACCAAGGCUUUGACGGGUAGCCGGCCUGAGAGGGUGACCGGUCACAUUGGGACUGAGAUACGGCCCAGACUACUACGGGAGGCAGCAGUGGGGAAGAUUGCACAAUGGGCGAAAGCCGGAUGCAGCGACGCCGCGUGAGGGAUGGAGGCCUUCGGGUUGUAAACCUCUUUCGCUCAUGGUCAAGCCGCAACUGUGGGUUGUGGUGAGGGUAGUGGGUAAAGAAGCGCCGGCUAACUACGUG